UAAGACUGGGAUAACUUCGGGAAACCGGAGCUAAUACCGGAUAAUAUUUUGAACCGCAUGGUUCAAAAGUGAAAGACGGUCUUGCUGUCACUUAUAGAUGGAUCCGCGCUGCAUUAGCUAGUUGGUAAGGUAACGGCUUACCAAGGCAACGAUGCAUAGCCGACCUGAGAGGGUGAUCGGCCACACUGGAACUGAGACACGGUCCAGACUCCUACGGGAGGCAGCAGUAGGGAAUCUUCCGCAAUGGGCGAAAGCCUGACGGAGCAACGCCGCGUGAGUGAUGAAGGUCUUCG
Molecule: ribosomal RNA, 293 nt
Filed under: Staphylococcus aureus
Lineage: Bacteria; Bacillati; Bacillota; Bacilli; Caryophanales; Staphylococcaceae
Description: partial 16S ribosomal RNA
Rfam family: Bacterial small subunit ribosomal RNA
Source: RNAcentral